RNAcentral lists this long non-coding RNA (464 nucleotides) under Eucalyptus grandis. RNAcentral describes it as "long non-coding RNA (EGRA_LNC000894)". The record is from RNAcentral. Lineage: Eukaryota; Viridiplantae; Streptophyta; Magnoliopsida; Myrtales; Myrtaceae.
GUCCUGAUAUACCUGGUGCUGGUACGGCCCACAUUAUCUUUUUAUCAAUUUUGUCAGUCACGGCCGCGCAUUGCUAGCAUAUGAAAGUUUUCUGGUGGAGAUGGCUCAUAUAAUGCUAUUAGCAUGCUUUGUUUCUUAUUAUAGAUGGAGUUAAGCAAGGAACAGAUGAUGCAGAGAUUUUGGCGAAGUCAAGGUUUCAGAUGGUGGGAGUUUUUCUGAUACUACUGUUGUCAAAAUAUUUUUUAGUCGUGUAUGAGUUCCAUCUAUUUGACUUGCAUAAUUUAUUGCCUUGUUGUAGAAUGUUAUUGAUGAUUAGCAUUUGCAGAGGUUAUGUCGGUAUUUCUUGUCCACCCCACCACGACGAUGAUGGCCUUGGAAUAGUGUGCACUGGGUUUGAAUAGAUUGGAGUGGAUUUAGUGAAGUAGUAGCCCUACUGACGAGCAAAAUGUCCGCCACCGGUCCAG